AAAGCAGAAAGGAUACAUAAAUCAAAGAUAGAAAGGGAAAAGUCUGCUGCAGGAACAUUACUUUACUCUGGGCAGAGUUUUUGCAUCAGCCAAGCACGUCCUGUUCAGCUAAGCAAAGGCAGAGACAAAAAUAGAGUACCCUAGCAGUCUGUACUUCCCAGUAAUUGCAGACCCCCAGCAGCCCAGCUGGUUGGCCCAGGCUAGAGGAGAAUGUUUCUCAGUGUUGGUCAGCUGUGAGCAAUAGAAGAACUCCGGUAAAGCAAAGGGGAGAAGAUUACAUGCUGGCUUCCUUCUCCAGGCUUGCAGGGGGAAGAAAUUUAAGGUUUUAAUUUCCAGACUCGCUUACAGGAUGCUCAUAAUUUUUACAAACCACAAGUUUUGACUAUCCUUCUAGCUUCUCCUUCUACCCAGAAAAAAAAGAUGAACAUUAAAGCAAAGCUGAAGAAUGUAAUCAAAAUGGGAUUUAUAUCCUGAGAUGUCUU
Molecule: long non-coding RNA, 482 nt
Filed under: Lepidothrix coronata (blue-crowned manakin)
Lineage: Eukaryota; Metazoa; Chordata; Aves; Passeriformes; Pipridae
Description: lncRNA (ENSLCOG00000004539.1)
Source: RNAcentral